Molecule: ribosomal RNA, 872 nt
Filed under: uncultured prokaryote
Description: bacterial SSU rRNA
Rfam family: Bacterial small subunit ribosomal RNA
Source: RNAcentral
GAGGGUCUCAUCCGGGUGUCACAUUGGAAACUGGGUAGUUUGAGCAGAGAAGAAGAGAGGAAUUUCACACGUGUAGCUGUAAAAUGUGUAGAUGUGGAGAGGCACAACAGUGGAGAAGGACUCUCUCUGCUGUGUAACUGACUGUGAGGCGAGAAAGUGUGGAGAGCAACACAGGAUUAUAUCCCGGUAUUGUCACACGCUGUAAGAGAUGAAUUAUAGGUGUUAGGGUUUGAUAUACCUCUUGGUGCGAAGUUAACACACAUAGCGCUUUCCGCGGGGAGAGUACUGUCGCAGAGAGUAAAUCUCAAAGGAAUUGACGGGGACCCGCACAGCACAGUAGAGUAUGUUGUAUAAUUAAAAGCAACGAAAAGAACCUUCACAUGUCUUGAUAUCCUCUGUGUCCUCUAGAGAGAUAGGCGCUUUUUUGGACACAGAGGAGACAGGUGGCACAUGGUUGUUGUCAGCUCGUGUCGUGAGAUGUUGGGAUAAGUCCCGCAACGAGCGCAACCCUUUUUUUUAGUUGCCAGCAAUGGGGGUGCGCUCUAUAGAGUGACUGCCGGUCACAAACGGGAGGAAGGGGGGGAAGAUGUCAUAUCAUCAUCCCCUAUAUGACGUGGGACACACACGUACCACAAUGGGGGAUACAACGAGAAGAGAAGUCGAGAGGUGGAGCGUAUCCUAUAAAAGUCUGUCUCAUUUCGGAUCACAGGCUACAUCUCGCGUGCAAGAUGUCGGAAUUUAUUGUAAUCGGGGAUCAACAUGCCGCGGAGAAUAUGUUCCCGUGUCUUGUACACACCGCCUGUCACCCCGAGAGAGUUUACCACACCAGGUGUCUGUGAUGAACCGCAAGAGCCAGCCGCCAAGUGGUAUAC